This 713-nucleotide ribosomal RNA is filed under the name uncultured bacterium. Its description in RNAcentral is "bacterial SSU rRNA". It matches the Rfam family "Bacterial small subunit ribosomal RNA", at positions 8 to 710 of the family's 1533-position model. The record is from RNAcentral.
AGAGUUUGGUCAUGGCUGUUACCUAACGCUGGCGGCGUGCUUAACACAUGCAAGUCGAACGCGAAAGUUUUCUUCGGAAAACGAGUAGAGUGGCGCACGGGUGAGUAACGCGUAAGUAAUCUACCCUGGCAUCUGGGAUAACCCACCGAAAGGUGUGCUAAUACCGGAUACGUUGAUUUAUCAAGAAAGGUGGCCUCUGAUUUAAGCUACCGUGCCGGGAGGAGCUUGCGUACCAUUAGCUAGUUGGUGGGGUAAUGGCCUACCAAGGCAACGAUGGUUAGCGGGUCUGAGAGGAUGAUCCGCCACACUGGAACUGGAACACGGACCAGACUCCUACGGGAGGCAGCAGUGAGGAAUAUUGCGCAAUGGGGGAAACCCUGACGCAGCGACGCCGCGUGGAUGAUGAAGGCCUUAGGGUCGUAAAAUCCUGUCAGAAGGGAAGAAAUGGUUUGUAGUUAAUACCUGCAUUCCUUGACGGUACCUUCAAAGGAAGCACCGGCUAACUCCGUGCCAGCAGCCGCGGUAAUACGGAGGGUGCAAGCGUUGUUCGGAAUUACUGGGCGUAAAGCGCGCGUAGGCGGCUAUUUAAGUCAGAUGUGAAAGCCCAUGGCUCAACCAUGGACGUGCAUUUGAUACUGGAUAGCUUGAGUAUUGGAGGGGGUGGUGGAAUUCCCGGUGUAGAGGUGAAAUUCGUAGAUAUCGGGAGGAAUACC